GUGUCAGCCGCCGCGGUAAUACGUAGGGUGCGAGCGUUAAUCGGAAUUACUGGGCGUAAAGGGUGCGCAGGCGGCUCCGCAAGUCAGACGUGAAAUCCCCGGGCUUAACUUGGGAAUGGCGUUUGAAACUACGGAGCUGGAGUGUGGCAGAGGGGGGUGGAAUUCCACGUGUAGCGGUGAAAUGCGUAGAUAUGUGGAGGAACACCGAUGGCGAAGGCAGCCUCCUGGGCCAACACUGACGCUCAUGCACGAAAGCGUGGGGAGCAAACAGGAUUAGAUACCCUGGUAGUCCACGCCCUAAACUAUGUCUACUAGUUGUUGGGGGAGUUAAAUCCCUUAGUAACGCAGCUAACGCGAGAAGUAGACCGCCUGGGGAGUACGGUCGCAAGAUUAAA
This 395-nucleotide ribosomal RNA is filed under the name uncultured bacterium. Its description in RNAcentral is "bacterial SSU rRNA". It matches the Rfam family "Bacterial small subunit ribosomal RNA", at positions 505 to 898 of the family's 1533-position model. The record is from RNAcentral.